UACGGAGGGUGCAAGCGUUAACCGGAUUUACUGGGUGUAAAGAGUGCGUAGGCGGACACGUAAGUCAGGUGUGAAAUUCCGGUACUCACUACCGGAGCUGCACUUGAAACUGCGUGUCUUGAGGUCAGGCGGAGGAAGCGGAAUUCCAUGUGUAGCGGUGAAAUGCGUAGAUAUAUGGAAGAACACCUGUGGCGAAAGCGGCUUUCUAGCUUGAUACUGACGCUGAGGCACGAGAGCGUGGGGAGCAAACAGG
RNAcentral lists this unclassified non-coding RNA (253 nucleotides) under uncultured bacterium. Its description in RNAcentral is "contains 16S-23S intergenic spacer region". It matches the Rfam family "Bacterial small subunit ribosomal RNA", at positions 524 to 776 of the family's 1533-position model. The record is from RNAcentral.